UUUCCUUUUUUUUAACCCGCGCGAUACAACGAAUCGAUAAUUAAAAAAAAAGUAAAAAAUACCGACCAAAAAAGAAAAAAACGGUGAUGAAAAAAAUAAUGGUAAAGGAUGAAAUGUACUUAGUGGUGAACGAAGAUAAUAGCUGAAGGAAGAAGAAAAGGAAGAGGAAGGACUUGAGCUGAUUCGAGUUGGAAUCCACACUCAAUAAUGAAGGAAAAAUUACCAUGUGAUAAUUUUAGAAAAAAUAAUGUAUAAAUAUAGAAGAUAGAUGGAUAUUGUUGGAGAGAUAAAGAUAGUUUAAUAUGUUGUAUACUAAAAUUAAUAAUAAGUAGAAAGAGAAAUAACUAAAUUUCUAUUUAUAAGGGGACAAAAAGGCGAAGGAAAACGAAAAAAAAAAAGAAAAAAGAAAAAGGGGGGGCGGCUAAAUUUACGAAUCUGCCACUCCGGCGCACCGCUUGAGCAGGGCGUCGUGGCGCUCGGCGGAGUCGGCGGCGAAGUCCGCGAGCGAGCCCGCCGCCGCCGACAUCCCCGCGCAGAGCACCCUUCCCGCCAUCUCCGCCGCCAACCCCCUCCCCUCCGCCGCCGCCGCCGCCGCCGGAGAAUUUUCCGGCGAGCCCACCACCACGNGGCGAUCGACCCGAUCCCCGCCGCGAAGAAGUCGAGCCCGUCCAUCGCCCCCGCCUCGCUCGCCGCCUCCAGGACCCGCGACCAGUGCACGCACGCCGCGAACGCCGCCGGGGGCGGCGGCGCCGCCGCACCGUCGCCGGAGGCGGCGGAGCAGCAGCGGAGGGACCAGGAGGAGAGGGCGCGCGCGUAGGAGCGCUGGGCGGAGAUCCACGCGGCGAGGGCGGAGCGCCAUGCUCGGAGCUCCGCCUCUAGGGCAACGGCGGCGGCGGCGGCGGCGCUCGGCGGAGGGGGAAAGGCAAAGGAGAAGGAGGAGGAGGAGAAGAAGAGGGGCUUGGCCUCGUCUAUAAUGCGCCGUUGAAUGCGGUGGCACUCCGCCAUUGUCCUCCACAUCCUCGCUAACCUGCGUCGGAGACAAAAGCAAAAAGAGAAGAGGUUACUAACACUACUGGUGAUCUCUUUCUUUUCUACAGCAAUCAAAAUUAACAACUCAUUAGAUGAUCUAUUUGAUUACGUAACAUAUUUUUGGAUCUAUUCGAAGGUUAUAGUAACAAAGUGCAAGAAUUUUACUGAAUGAAAUACCAACUGCAAAUAAAUGACAUUGUGAUUAUCUCUACUCAUGUCAGAUAUCUCAUUUGUUUGUAAUAGUUUGCUACAUUUUUAUUAGGUUAUUGUGUUGCCUCAUAUUCACAUGCUUGAUUCUACUAUUGGCAGUUUAAAAAGGAAAAAGAAUGACUCUUAUCUACAAUAAAAUGCUUCUGCAUAGUUUGCUUUUCAGUAAAACAACUUCUACGAUUGAUUUGACGUAAAAAGUGAACAUUGUAAUAGAUUAUCUCUUAAUUCUAGCCAUAGACAGUUUUACGAAAAAAGUAGAGUAGGAACAUACCCUUGUAUCAAUUCCAUAAGCUGCGGGUGCAACUCCUCGUCCCUUAAAACCUCGAUCCUUUUCGACACGGAUUGAACCGAGUGUAUCGACACUUUUAAUCGGGUAUGUAGGUCUCUUAUGGCUGCUCUGGCUUUAUCAACAGCACCAGGUUCUCCCCCAUUCGCAUCUAGGCUCCUCAGCUGCUUCAGUUUCUUCUCGUAUGCUAUUCUUGUUCGCUCGCCGGCCUAAACAGGAAAAGCACGUUAAAAUUCAUUGCAAAACAUCAGAGAUCUAGAGCUCCUUUUCUAUUGAAGAGACGGCCCACAUUUGGUUUUUUGCAGAAACAUUUCUUUUUUUCUAUUUCGCAACUUUAGCUCAUGUUCUAAGUCUUAAGACCACGAUGCAAAUUUUUAUGGUCAAUGCAUAGUUUUCAAAAAUAUGCCGCUGUAAAUCAAAAUUUUUGCGUCAUGGCUUUUGCAGAUCGGCAGUUUGGUUCUAGAAGUUGAAAAUUGAGCUAAAGUUACAAACCUGAGGAGACUAUCACGUUUUCGCAUAUUCAUAAAACAAAAGUAUUCUUUUCUCUUCUUCUUUUUUUUUUUUUUUUUCUGUUGCGUAAAAAGGCCUUGAUUCUGACUUACUAUUAAGGUUUACCUUUACUUCCUCAUAUAGUUUCCUCUCCCAUACAUACAAUCUAUCUAAAGUUGAUUGGUGGCUCCCAGAUAUCAUGCAAGAGUCGUCGGAGUAACUGCUACUGCUCUCGUAGCCAUCAUCUCUUGAGCUGGACGAAGUGUGAAAGAAUCUCGAAGAUGAUGAUCGAGACGAAGCCGAUCGGAUCAAUGCAAUAGGGUUCAUCAUUUUCACUGCGUGUUGAUGAAGAACAAGUUAAGCGGGUUCAAAGAAAAGCUAUCAAAGCAUUUAACUGUAAAAUUUCAGGUAAAUCGCAUCGGAGGCACUCGAAUUUUUAUGCUAUUUUAGUUCAUCCCGAACUUUGCAAUGCUAUAAUUGGGUCCCUAACUUUUGCAUGCUGUUGCAGAUUUAUCUUUUCUGUGUAAUUCCCAUGUUAGUUUGGAUGGAACUGUCCACAUAAGCACCACAUAGGUGUCACAUAAGUGACAAUUCGGCUUCACAUUUGUGUGUUGGGAUUUUAUUCAUUUAGGCGGCAGGUAAAUAGCAAUUACCUGGUACCUAAAUGGUCAUUUCCAUCCGAUUUAACAGUCAGCAUAGUAGAUAAAUUUGCAACAACUAAAAAGUUGGAACCAAAUUGAACAAUUCGUCCUAAAUAUUACAAAAUUUGUUUGGUUUCUAGCAUCAAAAUCCAUGAAUAUACCAGCAAGUUCGCUUGAAUUUGACGAAUACUGAGCUCUACUCGCCUCCAACAUCACUGAAACCUCGUGAGCAGCAUCGCAGAUCCUCAUAAACUGUUCCUCAAUUCUCUUCACAACCUCUUUAAUACUUGUUGGCCUCCGAUUCAAAUACACAGUAAAACCGGGAGUUUCUUCUCCGCCUCCUCUGCUUACCACCACAUCCUUCUCUUUCUUAAUGUUGACUUCCACCCCCUCGCUUUCUUUCGACACUUCAACACUCUGCACACCUCUGGACCGAAAUUCCUUCACUACUUGCUUUGUGUUGUUAGCGUGAAAUUUAUCUUCAGAAGGAUUCUCAUUAGCCUCAAAUUUCACUUUGUCGUUUUUGACAUCUAUCUCGACAAAUUCUUCUUCCUGUUGUUCUUCUUGUUGUUCUUCCGCUUCCUGUUCUUCGUCGGUUACUUCCUCUUCAAGCUCGGGAAUCCCUUCUUCCUCUCUGACUUGCCUGAGCCUCGCGAGGUCAUCGUCAUCUAGAGCUCUCUCAUAGCUGCUCAAAAUAGGAUAUCCCUGAUUCUCGAUCGAAGAGAACGGGUUCCAAAAGAAAUCCCAUUGCGAGUCUUGAGGCGAAGGCGGAGGGUACCUCGCCCUAUCAUCAUAGUCCAUUGUGAAGAACGAUGAAGAAUUGUUCAUCGGCGAACCCAAAAAACCGUCCAUUCCAUAGUAAUUUCCCGUAGGGUAAUAAGAGUUAAUCCUUAUAGUUUCUGUCGGCGGAGGCCGUUCUUCAACAGAAACCGAUGAAUUCGCGCUUGACUUUAAAUACUUUGAGAUGUGAAAAUUUCUCUUCUCAGACAAAUUCGAAGGGAUUUUAUCGAUGUCGUGGCUCAAUCUUUUCACAGGAGUUAUGUACGAGUCCAAGAAGAGGAAAUCAUGGUGAUCAUCGUCGCAUUCGACGAACUUGUUGAGGGCCAUCGAUACUCGUUUAAGCGACUGGAGGUAAGAGAUGUGGUUGGAGGCGAAUCGAAUUCUUUGCUCGACCGCCUGUUUGAUGAAAUUUUUCCGAUCUCUGCAGAGCCGGACAGCUUCUUCAUCUUCUAGCCGUGAAGCGGAACAUCCCAUCUCUUCGAAGGCCUCUUAAGAAUGCUUCAUACUUCAGAUCAGAGCAAGCCAGUUGGAGGAUUCAGUAAGUACUCUUUAUAGAGAAGUUAAUACUCAGAUUUUAAUCUAUAUGCAGGUAAUAUGAUAAGGAGUUUCAGAAAAACAAGAGUAGUUUAAUGUUGAAGAUGCUAAAUGAAACAAAAAUAAUGUUAUAAUCUAAAGAUUGAGAAGAGAAAUUCUAGAAGUAAAAUAAAGAAAUAUUAUGUCAGAGCUAGGAACACAUAAAAGAUACAAGAGAUAAACAAGAAGACCAUAAUUUACUAAUAUUACGUCAGAGCUAGGAGCACAUCAAAAGUAGAACAUGGUGAAUAUCAAAGGGAAGUUAAAUGAAACCAUCUACACAAAAUUAAAUGAAAAAGUGGAAAAGGAAGCAUUUGAUGCUUAAAAAAAAAAAAAAAAAAAGGAAGAUCUAAUCACAUGCUAAGUUACAGUUUUGAACUGUAGAGAAACUUACAAAAAAAAAAAAAAAAAAGGAGAAAAAAAAGAGGAAAAGCUAGAUAGUUAUGUACCUUUCUUAAUACUCCUUGAAUCAAAACAGAGAUAGCUUCAAAUAAACACUAAAACAAGCCCCAAAAACAUUUUACUGAUGAAAAGAAGCUUCUUUGAGAAGAACAUAUCAUUCUAAUGCAUCAAUGAACCAUCUUUAGGUUGAAAAAACAAGGACAUAAUUUUUUUUAAAAAAAAAAAUAAGCAUCAAGAAAAAUGAAGGGCUCAACCACUUAAUUGAGUUUAAAAGAAGGAAAAAUAAAAGAAAAAAAAGAAGCUGAUAGCAUUGGAAUGCUGAAUUGUACUGUUAAUGACUUUAAAGUGGAAGAAGCAAAACAGGACAAAAUUACAGAGACACUAAACAGUAACAAAAUAAAAUAAAAUCAAAAUAAAACCAUUAAAUUAAAUUGGAAUUAAAAAAAAGGGGAACAUACACACUUUAUAGUCUCAUGGUUGAGACAAAUAUAUUAAAAAAAUCAGGGAAAAAAAUCCAAUUUUGGUUGUAAUAAGAUUACAACAAUACCUGGGUUGUGAAAGAAGAGAUUGAUGAGAGAGAAAUUGAUGAGAUAGAGAGAGAAAGGGUAGAGAGAGAGAGAGAGAGAGAGAGAGAGAGAGGGAAAGAGCUUACACUACUGUGGCAGAGAGAGAGUGAGAUCUAGGAGUGGGGGCAACGGUCAAAACGAGUUGAAAGGAGAAAUUCCAGCUCAGGAGAAAAAAGGAGAGCACGGGAGGGGAGUGAGGAGAGUGUGGGUUAUCUCAAACUAUGCCCCUGGACUUGAAGGAAAUCACAGGAAUGCCCCUCCCCCUCUUCCUAUUUAUUAGUUACCAAUGUGAGUCCACGCACAUAGCCGUUGCAUUUUGUAGCGUCGAUUCUAAUCGUACGGCUGAGAAAAGUCACAUAUUGAAGAGGAUGAAAUCUCGGCCGUAUAUUUGGAACAGUAAGUAAUACUGUACGAGGAUUAAAGCGUGCGAAGAGAACUGAUGCCUUUCUUGGGAAUUAAUUGUACGUUACAGCACGUCUUUUGCUUUUUUCCACAAAUGCCCCUCCGUGUGCUCCUCACCAUAGUCCUAGCCCAGGGGUAGAUUCGGGAUUUUCCUGUUUCAAAAUUUAAACCUCAUUUAAGGAUGUUUUUAAUGGGUUUUUUAGUAGAGGAUUUGGGAGAGAUUUUUUUUUUUCAUUUUUGGGUGAAAUUAACAAAAUGCACCCCGGAAAAGGUGCGCCUUUGAAAGGGAUGCAAAGUGAGGCAACAAGGCAUGGGAAUUUUCAAAAAGAUAAAGUGGUGGAAAGCAAAAGUGGGUAAUAAAAAAAAAAAAGAAAAAGAUUCUCGUGUCCAUCUAUAAAAAAGCUAUGUUUGGUGCCUUUAAUUAGGGGAGGGGGGGUUCCUUGUUAAGAAUUAUAUACCAAUUUUGGACUUAUUUGCAAAAAAGCCCCUUGUUAUUGAUCUUUCCUAGUUUUGCCUAAUAAUGAACGCAUUUAAGCAAGUUUAUAUUUAGCAUCAUUAGGUGGGAAUUCCGAUGCAAACCCGCUCUAAUUUAUCGGAUUCGGAUCCCAAGAACCAUCCCUCCAUCCCAAAAAAGAAACCCAAAAAAAAAAAUUCUUAAUUACCCCAAUGCUUUGGAUUUUCUUAAAAAAAUGUGCACAUUCUUAGGUUUAGCGUAAGUGAUAAUCUAUUAGAUUUGGAUUGAAUGAUCCAAUAACUAAACGUUAUUUUUCAAUAUCUUAGUCUCUUUUCUUUUUUAUUUUUUAUUUUAGGUCGCAAAUCAUAUUCAUAUCCAUACAAGAGUUUGUUUACCUUUUUGAAGUUUACUAAUCAAGGGCCCAUCUCAAUAACUAUUAGCGAGUUAAAGAUGAGCAAAAUUGUUUUCCAUUUCUCGAUUUGUUUCGUUCUAUCACAAUUACUGAAAAAUGGUGAAUAAUUGGACAAAAUAUUAAGCCAAAAAAGAAAUUCAUGAAUAAGUCACCCCCACUUUUUCUCAAAUUUUCAUAAAGAAAAGGGCCAUGGUCCCCAUCAUUGACACAUCACAACACAAAAUUAUGAAAUUAUUGUUUAUACCCGGUCCACGACGUCAGCUAUGCAUCGCAAUCUCAUCUCCCUUUAUCUCAUCUCCACUUUCAAUUUUAUUUGAAAAAUACAUAAUUUGGUGAAAUACGUUUAAUGUCUAGUGUGGCGCACAACUGAUGUGGUGCGCCGGGUGCGCGCAAAAGUUCUCCUUCCAUAGGAUGCCACUACAUAAAAAGGGUAUUAUUAUGUACUAUACAUAUACUAUUCACCUCUAGUUAGAUCCAUACCACACUGAAAAAAAAAAAAAAAAAAAAAAUCGCAACCAUGUCUUAAUUUUAGGACACACGAAGAAUCUUAUCUUGUUGUUACCAUUGAUGGUAGGGAUAUGCACAUCCAAACGUAAUUAAGGCACACACAGAGCACAUGUGAAUCUAUUGUGCAAAACUACAAGGUUAGUACAUACACCCAUCGACAAAAUAAAAUGAAUUGGUUCUGUACGGAACGUAGAAGCUACUAUAUUUUGUUGGGAUUAUAUAAACUAGCGAGUGGCCCAUUAGAGAGGGUCCAAUGUUUGUACAUGGGAUUUAGCUGGUGUUCAUAUUACAAACAAAGUUCUUUUUGUUUGCUUACAAAAGUGGUACAAAGGGGGGCAAUAAACAAAUAUGACAGUUCUUGGCCCACCCUUAUGGUAACUAAAUAUGCUGUUCUCUUAUUUAUUUAAUAAAUAGAGAUUUAAUUUAAAAAAAAAAGUAGGCUUUACAAAGUUACACAUGUCUCAAUCGAUCGUUAAGAGUAUAAUAAAGUUAUAGUAGGUAUAGUAUAUAAUAUGUAGGAUAAACUGUGCAAUAAUAAAGUUUGGAAGAGGUUUUUGUGUUCUAGCCAAAACCCCCCCCUAUAUAUCUAUCUAUCAAAUAACAACGUAGGGAACUUUUUAGCUUUUGACUUAAUCCCAAGCUUCACCAAUUGUGACAUAUUACAAACUACAACAUUUGCAUGCAAUUUCAUCUUACGAGGGCUACUUUUAUUUUCAAUUACAAUAUCCCAAGCAUGUUUAUCUUGUUGUGACACUCUUUAAAGUGCAUCAAGGAAAUAUGUCAAGGAAAAAUAUAAGUCAUGUUUGUUGUCACACUAUGAAUGUUAAACUAAUAAUAACACCACCUUGGUGGAGUAAAUUAAUGCAGCUUUGGCUAAGGAAAAAUAAGGUAAUAAACAAGUGUAAUCUAACUCUGAAGUUCAUUACUUUAACAGAUAAUGAAGUUAAUCAGAUACCCAUUUCCAGCCAACACAAUUGGUGACAAUGAUGAGGAUAAAAUAUGAGGCAAUUUAACAAGUUUCCCCUUCUAAGAACAUUGGCUUUGCUAGGGUACUGCAUUAGAUAUGUUUCUGGUUUCUUCUGCUUACCAUUUACAUAUAAUAAGGCAGCCAAAUUCCUAAUCGAUAAAAAUACUAGUAGUAAAUCCUACAGCAGGAAAUCGGGCAUAAAAAGGCUCGAGGAAAUAGAUACCAUCAACAAGGGAAAAGGAUCGGAGAACCAUCCCUUCGGAGCCUGUUAUCGGAGAGAUCGAGCUUGCUCAUCUUCUCCUCGCACCAUAACAGCUGCUCUUUACUAAGCCUCGCCAGCCUCAAAACCCUAGAAAUGACUUUUAUGUCCACGAGAGCAAAGAGGAGUUCCACCUCCUCCCACGUUGCCGGCCAGGUCUUUUUCUUGUAUCCUUUCUUCUUUUUGAACAGCUCUUUCACCUUCAUCUCCUUCUGUGGAGAUAUGGAACAACGGACUGUUAAAAUCUGAUAUUUUAAAUUCUGAUAGAGUUAUUCACAUGGAUAACCCCUAUGGAUAUAUAUCGAAAAGCCUAAUUUGGAUAGAUGCAAAUAGAUGACUUCCUGUGGAUAUAAUCAAAAGGCCGCAUUCAGAUAUCUUCACAAGGUAGUUGUCAAAUCAGAAAGAAUACAAAAGAUACCUACUUAGGUGUCGGUUCAGAUAUGCAGCAGAGCUUUGCCAAAGGACAAGUAUAAGGUAAGUUCGUUAAGAGAGAAAGAAAUUAAGAACUGUUGGAAAAGAAGCUUUUCCCCACUGAUAUGCAAAGAAGCCUUUUCGAUCAAUUUAUUGCAUUAUAGAGCAUGCAGCAGAGUUCAGACACAGAUCCUAAGGGAUAUUCGUAGGAUGUUGGAGUUUUGGGCUGAAAAAUUCUAGUGGUUUUUUUCUAGUAGCCUCAGUUUUUGUUGCCUAGUUCAUUUUCCUAAUGAAUGAAUCAAAUAGUAUACUAACUUUUCUCAAAACGAAAAGGAAAAGGAAAAAGAGUAGCAGCACACCUUAUCAAGAGAAGCUUGAACCUGUUGAAGGGAGCUUCCUGCAUGGCUAUGGGCCCCAUAAAAGGAAUCUGAUUUUUUCUUGUCCUUCUUUAUGAAAAGACGGAAGGUUAGGAUCGACUCCUCCAUUACUUUUAUGAGAUCAGGGGCUAAAAUUGCCUGUUCCAUGUUGUCCUCUGCAUUUCCAUUUUGAUCCGAACCUGAGAGUAUUUAUUCUGAAAAUUAUAGUACCAAAAACUUGAUCUCCUAAAAGAAAGUUUCCUCGACUUCAGCAACAAAAUGACAAUAUACAAAUUUAAAGUCUAUACACAGCACUAACACAAGUUUCCACAUUAAAGUUAAACCACAACUCAGUAACAAUAUGUAGCCCAUUUCUUAUCCAGAUUACAUGUAAUAUGAAGUACUCCUUAUCCAGAUUAGGUAACUUACCAUAAUCAACAUGCACAGAAUUUCCGGUGAAGUUAGUUCCUUGCAUUUAAAACCUACCCUAACCACUAUGCAUGACUAUGGUACAAAAGAUUGUAAUAACAUGCAAAUAAACACCAUAAAUCAUUCAUGUUAUACUCUUCUCCGAGUAAGUAGUCUCCGUUAAGAAAGGUAACGAAAAAGAAAUAGUAGUAUAGAAAGUAGAAAACAUAUAUUUGACUCUCAAAAAUAAAGAGAAUAAUAGAAACCAUGUUCUAACUUCCAAAGAUGAGCAUAAGAAGGAUAAAGAACUCGCUAUAUGCAGUUAGCAAAUGUGUCGUCCAUUGUGCGCUCAAUUGAAAGGACAAGAUCAGACAACAACAGGUUUUGCAAUUUAAAUCAUAUUCAAAGAUACCAUAGGCCAUUUUGACCUUUUAGAAACCUUUGACUUCUUCUGAACAAAAUUUAUACAUGCUUUUACUCACCACAGACCAUUUUGCCCUGACAGUGCCAUGCAUACAGUCAUAAAUGGCUUAGGAGGGUGAUCAAUGCUAUUUCUUAUGCAUUUAAUACCAGUAAAUUUUCUAUUACAAAAUUAAUCUUCCAUUAAAUUAAAUACUCAAAACUUGAUAUAUGCUAAUUGAGCAAGUACACACUAUAUGAUGACCUAAGAAGAUAUCGAAAUAAAUUAACUUACGGUAAAGUAUAACAUGAAAAUGAUUUUAGUCAAGUUUGCGCUAGGAGACAAUUCUGAAGCCAAUAUAAGCUUUGAUUAACUUUCCGUGAGAGAGAGAGAGAUCUAUUACAUUAUAGAAAUGAUUAACAAUAAAAUAAACAUAAGAGAUUUCUCAUAAUUUACCUUGAAAAGUAGGAACCUGAAGUAACUUGGAGAAAGAACUCCUCGUCCGGGCAUAAAUCUUGACCCUUGAACCCUCUUCGAAGGGCUCAUUUUCAAUAAACCUCUGCAAAAGCACUUGAAACUGCUGAAACAAUUGAGCAGCAUGGCUAUAUGAGGUCGGAUUCUCAGGCUGUGACGAGAUCCUCAGACUCAGCUGCACAUACUGGCAAUGGAGAGCCUCCCAGCUUAAAGCGACUUGUGCGACAUAUGCAACCUCAAGCGUCUGAUAUGGGUCAUACUCAUUCUGCUGUUGCUGUAAUUGCUCGUAGUCCUCUUGAAGCCCAUCUCUCUUCUUUAAAGAGAGGUUGCGGAGGGUCAACGCCAGCUUCUUAGAUGACGAUCUUGGUGACUUUUUACUAAUGUCCAUUGAUCCUGUUUCAUUACGUGCAUGCAUCAAAUUAGCAAGCAAAGGGAAGAAUCGCAUAUUCGCAUGCAUUGACCGCAACCAAAAUCCAAAACUGCUGCCAAAUUGAACAGAGUUAUCAAGUAAAAGAUUUUCCCACACAGUAGGGACCUUUGCACAAGCACAAACAUAAUACCCUUUGCACAAGCACAUAAAUGCGACACAAUACGCAUAUUAUGGAAAUAAGUAGUCGCAUUAGAUAUAAAUAGUUAGAUUUCUCAAUGCCCGGGUAUGAAUAAACUAUUGUACAAAAGAAAGCAACAACUCAACAACUGCAGUUAAAUAUUACCAUAUCAUCCAUCCCCUGCCAUUUUUUUUUUUGGUUUACCUGCUUCUUCCAAAAUCUGGGAGCUCAUUUUAUCAAAGAACAGCAUCCGCUCACAAUAUUUAUCAUACAACGUAUCAAAUCCGCACCACGGAUACCCGUCCACCACUUCCGAUUCCCUCCACUCGCUAGAACUACUCUCUUCUUCCUCCUCCUCCUCUUCUUCUUCUUCUUCCUGGUACCCUUCUUCUUCAGGAAUCAGCACCAUGAAACUGUUCUUCCGCAAUUCCUUCAACCUCCGCUUCACCUCAUUCGUGAUGAAGUCGUCGUCGUCGUCAUCUUCAGCUUCGAUAGCAGGGUCCGAAGGAUCAGCUGGUUUUGAAAUCGGAUCUGAGAUCGCAUCGCUCGAUGCAUCGGCGGUCGAAUUAGGGUUUCCAGCAUUUGGGUCUUCUGCUUCUUCGUCUGCGUACUUUCCCUGCUUUCGGAUUCUCCGAAACCUCCUUAUCUUGAAGAAAUCCAUACUAAGCUUGUGGAUCAAGCUCAAUCCAAAAAAAAAAAAUCUCACCUUUUUUCUCUUUCUCUUAAAAAGGUUAUAGCUUUUCUUUUUAGAAACGGGAAAGGGAAAGGAUAAGGAGGAGAACGAAGAGGAAGAGAGAGAGGAGGUAGGAUAAAAGGAGUAGGAGGGCGAAGAGAAAGAAGAGGAGGAAGAGAUCGCUGGAAACUUCGAGAUCCGCGGCGAAGUCCAAGCCACGGCUCAUCAAACAAAGAAGUGAUGCGAGAAACCCUAGGGAGAUCCCAAAUGGAGAUACGAAACCCUAGAAAUCGAGCUGUAAGAGCUUAUGCACAAACCAAGAUGAAGCUAAAGAGAUCCGAAAACCCAAGAAGAACCCCAAAUGGAGAUCCAAAACCCUAGAAACCCACAAUGCAACUCCCCAAAUCGGAAAAAUCGAAGUAUCGGCUACAUUACAGCUUACGGAGACGAGGCGACUGCAUUCUACUUGCGGAACCUCCCCAAACCCUAGAAACCCAUUGUUGGAGCAAAAGGCUAGGGUUAGGGUUAGUGUUAGGAUUUGGGAGAAGGGGAGAGAAGUGGAAGAAGAAGACGACGAAGAUGGCGAGGAAUUGGGGCGAGGAGAAGCACGAGGAUCGCGAGGCGAUUUUUUGCAUUUAAUCGGCGCGGGAGAGGUUUAAGAAGCGGGUAAUUUGCUAAUUAGUUAAACGUAGGGGGUUAAUAGUGUUAAGGGGCAAAUAAUUAGGGGAAAUUGUUUCCUAGACCCAAUGUAUCCCCACAUCUCAUGAACCUCAUCUAAAUUACUUAGUUUGAAAAUUCAUACAGAGGAAUCAUGUAGCCGUAAUAAGUUAGAUUUUAAUUUGUGAAAAAUUAGAUCUCUAAAAUUUAUAAUUUUGCAUACGUAAAUUUUUAAAAUACUAUAAAAUUUAUUCAAUAAGGUAGAUUUUGGUAUUAAAAUUCUGAUCACAAAAUUUAUAAUUUUUCAUUUAUGUCGUGUGUGAGAUGUACUUACACACCCGAUAAAAAUAGUAAUUUUUUAUUAGAAAAAAUUAUUUUUUUUCUGUCCCUAUUUGUUAUGCACCACACCUAAUUUUUAACAAUUAAUAUUUUGAAAUAAAAUUUUAAUUAGAUAAAUAUGAUAUACACCAUCUAAAUAGCCCAUUUAUAAAUAAAAGAAAUUAAAAAAAUUUUACUAAGAUAUUUAGUAGUUCUAAUAAUUAAUGAUAAGAAAAAGAUAUUAUUUAAUUUGUGAGAAUUAUGUUACUUUUAUUUUUAGG
This 12503-nucleotide long non-coding RNA is filed under the name Ananas comosus (pineapple). RNAcentral's name for it is "long non-coding RNA (ACOM_LNC002753)". The record is from RNAcentral. Lineage: Eukaryota; Viridiplantae; Streptophyta; Magnoliopsida; Poales; Bromeliaceae.